AUGGUGUGGUGCGAUGGAGAGGUUAACGAAGGUCGUUGCGGCGGUGGGAUAACGACAAGGCGGAAGCGUGUUUGGAACACACUUGCGCUCUUAUUGUCUUCUCAAUUUCUCCCGUUCUUUUUUUCUGUAAGAAUUAUAUAUGAAAGGGAUGUCUGUUUUGAUGAGUCAUGUACUGACUUAUUUGUCGUGGACUGUUUUUCUUACUGGCUUGAAAAAUUAACCAGAUCCUUGAACUUGUCUUCUUUGGCGACAAAUAGGGUACAUGUGUAA
Non-coding RNA from Vicia faba (fava bean), 270 nucleotides. The record is from the annotation of a GenBank genome assembly. NCBI's taxonomy places the organism in Eukaryota, Viridiplantae, Streptophyta, Magnoliopsida, Fabales, Fabaceae.